Poeciliopsis prolifica (blackstripe livebearer) is the source of this 451-nucleotide long non-coding RNA. RefSeq lists it as uncharacterized. The record is from RefSeq and is a predicted model, not a curated record. NCBI's taxonomy places the organism in Eukaryota, Metazoa, Chordata, Actinopteri, Cyprinodontiformes, Poeciliidae. The transcript has 2 exons.
GUAAUGGUUCAUGCAUUAUUGGUGGGAGUGUAACGGAUUGUAAAAUGAAAUGUCUAAAUUAUUUGUAGUUUAUUUAAAUUAAACAAUUUAAAUGAAUUUCUAAUUUAAGACUGUUGCAGAUUGUUUAUGUAUGUUUGUCUGUUUUGGUUUGCAUUGUUGGUGAUUUAUUUGGUUUAAUGGUAUUUUGUAAUGUUUUGGAUUUUUUUUUUUUAAUACGUACCUCACGGGCUGCCGUAGAGAAAGAGGGCAGGGCCUAUAAAACUGGGGAAUUGCAGUGAACCAAAUGAACUGUCAAACGUUGGACUAAGAAAUGGCGUUCCCCAGUAAAGGCAGCGAGUUUUCACGGUGAUGGUGAUGAUGAUGGUGAUGAUGAUGGAGGUUUUGAAGUCAAGUGACCUGACGAUGAUCCAGCAAAAUCAUCAAAGGAGAAAUAAAGCCAAUAUCACCUGUC